Molecule: small nucleolar RNA, 106 nt
Organism: Gossypium raimondii (Peruvian cotton)
Lineage: Eukaryota; Viridiplantae; Streptophyta; Magnoliopsida; Malvales; Malvaceae
Rfam family: Plant small nucleolar RNA R71
About the family: R71 is a member of the C/D box family of snoRNAs containing the C (UGAUGA) and D (CUGA) box motifs. Multiple nearly identical copies of this snoRNA have been identified in Arabidopsis, and it is thought to function as a 2'-O-ribose methylation guide for 18S ribosomal RNA.
Source: Rfam
AAUCCAUGCUCGGACAUUUCUGAAUUAAGUCUUUAAAUCAUUCCCAAGCUUCAUAUAAUGUUUCAUCCUCCAUUUUCUGGAAAGAUGUGAUGUCAUUUCUAAGCUU